UACGGAGGGUGCAAGCGUUAUCCGGAAUCACUGGGUUUAAAGGGUGCGUAGGCGGCUCGAUAAGUCAGUCGUGAAAUUCCCCGGCUUAACCGGAGGGACUGCGAUUGAUACUGUUGAACUUGAAUCAGGUUGAGGUAGGCGGAAUGUGGCAUGUAGCGGUGAAAUGCUUAGAUAUGCCAUAGAACACCGAUUGCGAAGGCAGCUUGCUGGACCUGUAUUGACGCUGAGGCACGAAAGCGUGGGGAGCAAACAGG
RNAcentral lists this ribosomal RNA (254 nucleotides) under uncultured bacterium. RNAcentral describes it as "partial 16S ribosomal RNA". It matches the Rfam family "Bacterial small subunit ribosomal RNA", at positions 524 to 776 of the family's 1533-position model. The record is from RNAcentral.